This 794-nucleotide unclassified non-coding RNA is filed under the name Hevea brasiliensis (rubber tree). The record is from RNAcentral. Lineage: Eukaryota; Viridiplantae; Streptophyta; Magnoliopsida; Malpighiales; Euphorbiaceae.
UUCUUGAUGAAUUUAGACAUAUUUAUGAGAUUUUGUAUAUCAUGAUAAAAACAUUAUAAGUUAUGCAUCUAAAAGCCUACUCAACAACAUAGAGUUUGCAGGGAGAAUGGGAGAUAAAUGAUACUCAUGGUUUAUCACACCAAAAGCUGAUAGAACUAAUUCAAAAUCCUGGGUGGUGAAGUGGCCAUCUGUCUGCUUAAAUUCACUGUUCGGGAUCUAUUUUUAACUUCUGCCUAAUUAGAGCCAUUUUAUCAAAUGAUAUUCCAGUCUGUUUGAAAUUUUUCCUUGUUCUUUCAAGCAAACGAUCUCAGUUGGUUUCUUAAUUUAUUAUCAAAUUGAUUUCCCUCUCUUAUUAUGUGCGUUCAUUCCUCAUUCUGCCCAUUUUAUAUAUUUGUCAGUUAUCCAAUCUGACACUGCAUCCUUUUUUAGGAUACACUCAGUAUAUGAGCAUAUUGAUCUAUUUUCUGUUCUGUUCUACUAUAUAUUAAUCUAAUAUUGAUUUUUAUAUGAAGUUUGGUCUAUCAGUAGUAGGUUGGAUACUCUAAGAUGAUAUCAAUUGCAUUUUGUUGUUUUUAUGUUUCUUUCUUAUUGCUAUUGCCACAUGUGCUAUGCUCACUUUUCAUUGUUGUUAUCAUCAUCAUUAUCAUCAAAUGUGUCGUUUAAAUUACAAUCUUGUUUGAUGCAAACCAAACCAAUUUCAUUGUAAUAAUUUUGUUCUAUAGUAUGGGAGAAAUUCUUUCACUUAUUUAAAUAAAUAUCUGCGUUCUUUUGGGCAAGAACCACAGUAUAGGCAA